RNAcentral lists this ribosomal RNA (393 nucleotides) under uncultured bacterium. RNAcentral describes it as "bacterial SSU rRNA". It matches the Rfam family "Bacterial small subunit ribosomal RNA", at positions 29 to 454 of the family's 1533-position model. The record is from RNAcentral.
AACGAACGCUGGCGGCAUGCCUAACACAUGCAAGUCGAACGAGACCUUCGGGUCUAGUGGCGCACGGGUGCGUAACGCGUGGGAACCUGCCUUUAGGUUCGGAAUAACUCAGAGAAAUUUGAGCUAAUACCGGAUAAUGUCUUCGGACCAAAGAUUUAUCGCCUUUAGAUGGGCCCGCGUAAGAUUAGCUAGUUGGUGGGUAAAGGCCUACCAAGGCGACGAUCUUUAGCUGGUCUGAGAGGAUGAUCAGCCACACUGGGACUGAGACACGGCCCAGACUCCUACGGGAGGCAGCAGUGGGGAAUAUUGCGCAAUGGGCGAAAGCCUGACGCAGCGACGCCGCGUGGGUGAUGAAGGCCUCGGUCGUAAAGCCUGUCGCAGGGAAGAAGUAAG